Long non-coding RNA from Nerophis lumbriciformis (worm pipefish), 286 nucleotides. RefSeq lists it as uncharacterized. NCBI's taxonomy places the organism in Eukaryota, Metazoa, Chordata, Actinopteri, Syngnathiformes, Syngnathidae. The record is from RefSeq and is a predicted model, not a curated record.
CUCAGAUGGUAGACCGGUCGGCCAAAAACUUGGGGGUUCCCGGUUUGAAUCCAGCUCUUGCCAUACUAGUCACUGUCGUUGUGUCCUUGGGAUGUUAAGGAUCUCUCCUCUGGUGCCUGUAACAGAUUUGGACUGCAGAGUGCACAGCACUUAACCACCUCCGCCUACGUGCUCCCUCCUCCUCGCGUCCAUAUGAGUGGCCUCCCCCUCUCGGAUGCCGACUAUUAGGAUGUUUACAUAUUCCUAAUAAGAUAAAGGAUGAAUCAUAAUCCUCACGAAGAAAAAG